GAUGAACGCUGGCGGCGUGCCUAAUACAUGCAAGUCGAGCGAACGGACGAGAAGCUUGCUUCUCUGAUGUUAGCGGCGGACGGGUGAGUAACACGUGGAUAACCUACCUAUAAGACUGGGAUAACUUCGGGACACCGGAGCUAAUACCGGAUAAUAUUUUGAACCGCAUGGUUCAAAAGUGAAAGACGGUCUUUCUGUCACUUAUAGAUGGAUCCGCGCUGCAUUAGCUAGUUGGUAAGGUAACGGCUUACCAAGGCAACGAUGCAUAGCCGACCUGAGAGGGUGAUCGGCCACACUGGAACGGAGACACGGUCCAGACUCCUACGGGAGGCAGCAGUAGGGAAUCUUCCGCAAUGGGCGAAAGCCUGACGGAGCAACGCCGCGUGAGUGAUGAAGGUCUUCGGAUCGUAAAACUCUGUUAUUAGGGAAGAACAUAUGUGUAAGUAACUGUGCACAUCUUGACGGUACCUAAUCAGAAAGCCACGGCUAACUACGUG
Molecule: ribosomal RNA, 497 nt
Filed under: uncultured bacterium
Lineage: Bacteria
Description: partial 16S ribosomal RNA
Rfam family: Bacterial small subunit ribosomal RNA
Source: RNAcentral